GACGAACGCUGGCGGCGUGCUUAACACAUGCAAGUCGAACGGAAAGGCCUGCUUUCCCUUGUGGAUUGCGGGUACUCGAGUGGCGAACGGGUGAGUAACACGUGAGUGAUCUGCCCCCAACUUGGGUAUAAGCCUGGGAAACUGGGUCUAAUUCCCGAUAGGACUGCAGGGUGGUGCCUGUGGUGGAAAACGAUUUUCUAGUGGUUGGGGAUGAGCUCGCGGCCUAUCAGCUUGUUGGUGGGGUAAUGGCCUACCAAGGCGGCGACGGGUAGCCGGCCUGAGAGGGUGGACGGCCACAUUGGGACUGAGAUACGGCCCAGACUCCCACGGGAGGCAGCAGUGGGGAAUAUUGCACAAUGGGCGGAAGCCUGAUGCAGCGACGCCGCGUGGGGGAUGACGGCCUUCGGGUUGUAAACUCCUUUCGACCGCGAGGAAGCCACCUGGUUGGAAGGGUGGUGGCGGUAGUGGUAGAAGAAGCACCGGCUAACUACGUG
Molecule: ribosomal RNA, 494 nt
Filed under: uncultured bacterium
Lineage: Bacteria
Description: partial 16S ribosomal RNA
Rfam family: Bacterial small subunit ribosomal RNA
Source: RNAcentral